AAUUUCUCUCCCUCUCGACUGUUCUUUUUACUUCUCAACUCUUCAAUGGUGAAGCCACCUGUUCUUUACUCUUUUCUGUUUGUCUACAUCUCUCUCAAGCUUUGGUGAAGGUUUCUCUUUAUCUCCGACGAACUGCGCAGACUUUAAAUCUGUCUCUGAAGCUUUGCUGAAGAUUUCUGUUUCUCUCCUACGACCUGCGCAGGUACUUCUUCAUGGUUUAAGCGACCCUAAUUUCUCUCCCUCUGAACUCUUCUUUCUACUUCUGAACUCUUCAAUGGCGAAUCCAUCUGUUCUUUACUGUUUUUGAUUUGUCUGCAGCCUUUAAAUUUCUCUCUGAAGGUUUCCUCAACAUUUCUGUUUGUGUCGGAUGACCUGCGCAGGUACUCCAUCUGUUCUUUACUGUUUUUGAUUUGUCUGCAGCCUUUAAAUUUCUCUCUGAAGGUUUCCUCAACAUUUCUGUUUGUGUCGGAUGACCUGCGCAGGUACUCCAUCUGUUCUUUACUGUUUUCUAUUUCUCUAGAGCCUUUAAAUCUCUCUCUCAAGCUUUCCUGAAGAUUUCUGUUUGUCUCGGACGACCUGCGCAAG
Solanum tuberosum (potato) is the source of this 585-nucleotide long non-coding RNA. RefSeq lists it as uncharacterized. NCBI's taxonomy places the organism in Eukaryota, Viridiplantae, Streptophyta, Magnoliopsida, Solanales, Solanaceae. The transcript is spliced from 2 exons. The record is from RefSeq and is a predicted model, not a curated record.